UCACGCCUCUUGUAAUUCAAUCAUUGUACAACAUAUCUUUUUUUUUUCUUUCAUUUACCAGCCUACUAGUAUCCGUGGGGGUCCAUAGGGGCUCCGCUACCCGUUAACCUUUAACAUUCAUAAUCAGUUUCCAGGGCCGUCCCCAUACCCCGUCCGGUAUGGGCGCCAAAACCAUGAACCUCAAUACCCCGUCCGGUAUGAGGGUGAAACGGGCCGUCCCCAUACCCCGUCCGGUAUGGGCGCCAAAACCAUAAACCUCAAUACCCCGUCCGGUAUGAGGGUGAAACGGGCCGUCCCCAUACCCCGUCCGGUAUGGGCGCCAAAACCAUAAGAUCUCCAUACCCCGUCCGGCAUGUGAGACCACAAUCCCGGUAGGGUUCCCUACGGACCCGGUCCGUCCACCAUCUCCCAGGAUAUCUAGUCAGGCUGACCCCCAUAAUACAAUUAUCAGUCUAUACAAUGUUUCAUUUCACUUUUCCUCAAUAAGCAUCAUCAAUUCACAUUUAAACAAGCAAAUCAUAAUUCAUGCCGAACAGACAACAUACAGUAUCACUUCUUCAGUCAUUCAACCCAUAAUUAAUAAAACAGUAAUAUAUGCAUUCGAAACUAUAAAAUGAACACAUCAAACCCCAUAAUGCAUUUAAAGCUGUAAAACAGGCCAAAUAACAGUAAAUCAUCAAUCACACUAGACUCGGGCUCCAUUAGCAACCUUAAGCAAUUUCACACAUGCGUUAAUUCAAGAAAUACCGUUUUAUUAUUUUGAACUUUAAUACCGUGAUAGGAAAUAGGGUGAGGGGUCCUUACCUGUUUUCGGGAUCCGAAUACGAUUCACAGUGCGCCUGCAGGCUGUCCCUAAUUUUCCCUGAAUCUUUCCCGGGAAACUGAAACACACUAACAGUACCUGCACGUGUUCCAAAAAAAAUCCAAAUUAGGCCCAGGGCCUCCUUCGGCCCAAAUCGCAACUCCGGCACGGCGGCUCCGCCGUGCUCCGGCGACGGCGCCGCCGCUGGCGGCGGCGAGUCGCCUCGGGUUGGCUGUUUUCGGCCGUUUUCGGCCGAAUUCGGCCACGCUCGCAUUGGUCCUUGUCAGAAAACAACCCUAGGGCCCUC
RNAcentral lists this long non-coding RNA (1109 nucleotides) under Carica papaya (papaya). RNAcentral's name for it is "long non-coding RNA (CPAP_LNC015831)". Lineage: Eukaryota; Viridiplantae; Streptophyta; Magnoliopsida; Brassicales; Caricaceae. The record is from RNAcentral.